Molecule: ribosomal RNA, 253 nt
Filed under: uncultured bacterium
Lineage: Bacteria
Description: partial 16S ribosomal RNA
Rfam family: Bacterial small subunit ribosomal RNA
Source: RNAcentral
UACGGGGGGGGCAAGCGUUGUUCGGAAUUACUGGGCGUAAAGGGUUCGUAGGUGGCCAACUAAGUCAGACGUGAAAUCCCUCGGCUUAACCGGGGAACUGCGUCUGAUACUGGAUGGCUUGAGUUCGGGAGAGGGAUGCGGAAUUCCAGGUGUAGCGGUGAAAUGCGUAGAUAUCUGGAGGAAUACCGGUGGCGAAGGCGGCAUCCUGGACCAUUACUGACGCUGAGGCGCGAAAGCGUGGGGAGCAAACAGG